UUGAGGUUAUAAUUUUUUGCAAUCAAAUAUCUUACCGUGCAAAACCCCGAUCGGGAUAACCUAUAUGUCUAUAUAAAGACGAAGGAGUUUUCUUUCAAUAUUUCAAAAUUCAUAAUAAUCGUAUGCACAGUUUUUUUUAUAAUGAUUUUUAAAAAAUUUGCAUUUGAUCAAUAAAUAAAUUGAGUCAUACAGCAACUAAUUAGGGUUUAACAGCCAACACCAUCUAGUGUUUGUUUUCGUUUUAUGUGUGAUAAAUUUCAGGGUUUGAAAAUGCUGGACUAUUUUCAAGCAAUUAUUUUUGUUUACGAAAAUGAAAUAAGCAAAAUGCAAAUGCAACAUUCAGUUUGCGUUUAUGUUUCAUACUAAGUGUGUGCGAAGGUUGAAGCAAUGAAUCGGGAUAUAUUAACUGGCGUAUUGAUUGGGCUGCUGGUUGACGGUAAAAAUCAACCCCAGCGUC
Long non-coding RNA from Teleopsis dalmanni, 457 nucleotides. RefSeq lists it as uncharacterized. The transcript is spliced from 3 exons. NCBI's taxonomy places the organism in Eukaryota, Metazoa, Arthropoda, Insecta, Diptera, Diopsidae. The record is from RefSeq and is a predicted model, not a curated record.